UUACCGACAGACAUAUAGAGACGACUUUGGAAGUGUUUUUGUUUUAUAUCAGCGAGCUGAUUCUGAACGAAGUAGUUGACCUGAUGAAGCAAUUUUAGGAGGUUUCUUAGUUCCGCCUCCACUUUUUGUUUCUACGCAACAAUUACCCUAACUAUAUGUUUCCCCCUCCUCUUCGACAUUUCAAACGAUGUAGUUCAUAAGAAUGUUCGGCCCCCUCCCCCUCGCUGGCCGGUGCGUGUAGCUCCAUUUUGUGUGGCAACGCAGAGCUGAGCUCCUCCGGUCUGCUGUCCGCCACAGGAGGAGCUUCUGGGCUUAGAACUCCAAAAGUUCGCAGUAAAUCCCUGGUGAAAUGUGAAUUUCUAUGAUGGCUGAAAACUCUGAGAACACAUCCUGUUUCCAUGAUGUCAGUGCAGGAAGUAAGAGCCACCUGCUAUCUGGGUAGCCUGCUUCUAUUUUCCUUUGUUUACUUUUGUACAAUACUAAAGAGACUAAACUUUUCAUCUCCAAAGUUGGACAUGGAGCUUUAAUCACCUUUCUGCUGGGACUUCACCUGAAGUUUCUUCUAGAAACAUUUACUAGCAAUUUCAGUGACAAAGAAAAAACUAAAAGAAUGACAUAGAAAUUUCAGGUUUGAAUAAAUAUCUGAAAAAACCCCAGAAUGAACAAAAUGGUAUUUUUCCAGAUGUUUUUUCUUCGUUUGGUUUUUACGAGAAAUAUUACAUCUGUAAUUUUUACAUGCAGUUGGCCAGGCAAGGCGUUUAGCAGUAACUGCCUCACAUUUAACCCUGGAGGCUGAUGCCACAACUAUCAGUCUGAGGUGUAACAAUUCAUUUUCAUAGGUUUAAUUUGCCAGAUAUCCUCAUGUUGAUGGAGGUGAACAGUUCUACUUUUAAAAUAUAAAUUUGUUAGGAAAAAUGUAGUUCCUGAUUAUUUAUUUACUGAUAGUCUGUGACUUUUCAUGCUGUUUUUAAGGCCUGACCACUGUAGAAAUAUUUGCUGUAAAUCUGUGAUAAACAUUUGCAUUUAAACACCAAAAAUGGACCAAAGAGAUAUAAAAAAUUAGAGUCACAACAAAUGAGCACCAUGUAGGAAGUUUAGUAAUCUGCCACUUUGCAUGACCUUAAAAGUUACAAAUAGAAAUACAAAUGAAUAUUAUUAGAGGGAUUUCCAUUACAAACCAGGCAUUUCUGACCAAUGAUUUAACUUCAGAAAGCAACUACAUCACAGUGUUAAACAGACUAAAGAUAUUUAAAAUUUUUACUUUCAGAAAAAGAUGACAAAUACUUUAAGCUAACUAAACUUUUUUCAGUUUUUCAAAAAACUUGUGAAAACAUUUAAUUUUAACAGGCUAAUCACUUUGGAUGAAACUAACUGAAAUUAUUUAGAUUUUUCCCCUUUCAGAUAAUUUAAAGGUUAUUUAACUUUAGUUUUUAGUAUUUAAUUAGUUUUUGGAAGUUAUCUAGCGCAUUUCAGUUCAUGAAAUGCGCUAGAUCUGUGAAUUCACUUAAAUUCACAGAUUUAAGUGAAUUUAAAUUUGUGAAAAGCAGGGAAAAUGAUCUUAUGUCAUAAAUGCGAGCAGAUGAUCACCACCACAGCUUCCAUCACAGCGAAGCAAAUCAAUUUCCCAGUUAGGACAACCUCAGAACUUCAUCUGAUGAUGAAACUAAAAGAUCAAGAUGAAAUCACUUUGAAACCAGCAGUGGUGGAAAGUUAUUGAGUAUUUUUACUUCAGUUCAGCGCUUAUGUGCUGUUCCACAGUAUUUCUGUUUUUACUUCUUUUGAUCUUGUACAUUUAGGAAGUAAGUGUGGAGCAUUAUUUUCAUCUCCAUCUGCUGUACAUCCUAUUUCUUUGGAAUUGAAGAAUAACUAAAAUUUGUACACUGAUUUGCAUGACUUCAGAAUAAAAUGUUUCUGAAUUUACCAAAUAUAGUGAUGCACAAAAACUGUGCAUGUGCUUCACUAUAUUUGAUCUUUUUCAUCACAAAUCUCCUGUUGCUUUGGCUUCAGUUCUACUCUGCUUAGGUUUUCUCAAUUUUGCAUAGAAGCAUUUCAGGUUUUUUAAAGAAGUAACUUUCUGUACUUUGCUCUGUUUUUAACAGGUUCCUGUACACUGUCCUGAAAGGUCUUAACUGUGGAAACUGAUUAUCAAUCAAAUUUGCAUUAAUAUAGAAAAAAUAGAAUGAAGUAUCAAAAUAACUUUACUUUCUACCCCGUUUUCCCCAGUUUUUUUCUUUAUAUAAUUUUAUAUUUAGGUCAAAUACUUCAUAUUAGAUUUGCCACAUCACAUUGUAAUGUUUAUGCUGCAUGUUUAGAUGUUUGAAUUACUGACAUAAAACCCUCGCAUAAAUCCACACUUCAGAAAAACUGAUCAAACAACGGACAUUUCACAGCAUGUUUUUGAUUCAGGGCUUUAAAUUGGGCCUGUGGUUCUUGAACUGGAUCUCAAAUGAUCUCAAACCUUAAAAUUUGUUUUGUGUUUUGAAGAAGAUCUCACAUUGUGAUUUUAAAGAAAAAAUCAUCAAAAAUCAUGGACUGCAUUAACUAUCUGGAGUUAAUGCAGUCCAGAUAGUUCUGGGUGUUACAGGUUUAAAAGUAGACCAGAUACCAAAUAUCUUUACAUUUAGCAAGCAAAUGUUUUGUUUUAACAUGUUCCAUGUAUUGAACUCGAAACAUAAAGAAAACUGAGUUUAUCUCUAGGAACUCCACUUUACUGAAAUAACAAAGUGUAUUGCACAAUGGAGGUCAAUAAUCCAUCUUCACGGCUUAGAAACAGAUGCACUUGUUUGAUGAAGAGGAGUUUUUUAUAUUUCAUAUAUUCUACAUACAAUAUGCAGUGAGUGGAAGUUCUGAGUUUUCAGCUGUUGGUCCUGGUUUUGCCUAAUGUAAGAAAUCAGGUCCAGUUGUUACUUCUGGUGCUUCUGAAAUCUGGAUGUUAUUUACAAAUUCAUAAUCACAAGUAAUUUAACGUAGAACCCGGCUUUACAUCUUUACAUCAGCGGUUUCCCACACUUCCAGAAACGGGAAAGUGAACUGAAAUGACGUCUCUGCUCUGUUACAUUGGGCCGUUAGUCCAGCAGCAGAUAUGCCACAAAAACAUCAGAAUACUUUCAGGACCGGCCAGCGUUGGGUCUGCUUCACAUUUACUGUGCUGGAACAAACUGACGAGGAAGCAAGCAGAUGCAUGUUGUCCAUACUUACUGCAGAGUAAGUAUGGACUGGCCAAAGGUCUUUAAACAUGUUUGUCUCUGCAGGAAGACGCUGAAUUUACACAAGACUCUUCAAACCUGCAGCACAAAAGAAGCUCUGUGUCUGAAAAGAAUUCAGUGAAAAACGGAGUAUGUCUCGUCUGAGGAAGAGUUAGGUCUUCACCUGGACCAGAGGCAUCACAUCAAAUAAGACGUUCAUCUUUCAAAGGUUGAGCCUGGCUCGGCAUCUUCCUCUGCGUCUCCUGAUGAAACGUUUCUGGCGGAGGCAAACCUG
Molecule: non-coding RNA, 3480 nt
Organism: Poecilia reticulata (guppy)
Lineage: Eukaryota; Metazoa; Chordata; Actinopteri; Cyprinodontiformes; Poeciliidae
Source: RefSeq, a predicted model, not a curated record